GUGGGGAAUAUUGGACAAUGGGCGAAAGCCUGAUCCAGCCAUGCCGCGUGUGUGAAGAAGGUCUUCGGAUUGUAAAGCACUUUAAGUUGGGAGGAAGGGCAGUAAGUUAAUACCUUGCUGUUUUGACGUUACCGACAGAAUAAGCACCGGCUAACUUCGUGCCAGCAGCCGCGGUAAUACGAAGGGUGCAAGCGUUAAUCGGAAUUACUGGGCGUAAAGCGCGCGUAGGUGGUUUUGUAAGUUGGAGGUGAAAUCCCCGGGCUCAACCUGGGAACUGCCUCCAAAACUGCAUGACUAGAGUACGGUAGAGGGUAGUGGAAUUUCCUGUGUAGCGGUGAAAUGCGUAGAUAUAGGAAGGAACACCAGUGGCGAAGGCGACUACCUGGACUGAUACUGACACUGAGGUGCGAAAGCGUGGGGAGCAAACAGGAUUAGAAACCCGAGUAGUCC
This 450-nucleotide ribosomal RNA is filed under the name uncultured bacterium. RNAcentral's name for it is "bacterial SSU rRNA". It matches the Rfam family "Bacterial small subunit ribosomal RNA", at positions 354 to 796 of the family's 1533-position model. The record is from RNAcentral.